RNAcentral lists this ribosomal RNA (698 nucleotides) under Symbiodinium sp. Mp. RNAcentral's name for it is "partial Bacterial small subunit ribosomal RNA". It matches the Rfam family "Bacterial small subunit ribosomal RNA", at positions 1 to 693 of the family's 1533-position model. The record is from RNAcentral. Lineage: Eukaryota; Dinophyceae; Suessiales; Symbiodiniaceae.
AUGGAGAGUUUGAUCCUGGCUCAGGACGAACGCUGGCGGCGUGCUUAACACAUGCAAGUCGAACGGAAAGGCCCUGCUUUUGUGGGGUGCUCGAGUGGCGAACGGGUGAGUAACACGUGAGUAACCUGCCCUUGACUUUGGGAUAACUUCAGGAAACUGGGGCUAAUACCGGAUAGGAGCUCCUGCUGCAUGGUGGGGGUUGGAAAGUUUCGGCGGUUGGGGAUGGACUCGCGGCUUAUCAGCUUGUUGGUGGGGUAGUGGCUUACCAAGGCUUUGACGGGUAGCCGGCCUGAGAGGGUGACCAGCCACACUGGGACUGAGACACGGACCAGACUCCUACGGGAGGCAGCAGUGGGGAAUAUUGCACAAUGGGGGAAACCCUGAUGCAGCCAUGCCGCGUGUGUGAAGAAGGCCUUCGGGUUGUAAAGCACUUUCAGUUGUGAGGAAAAGUUAGUAGUUAAUACCUGCUAGCCGUGACGUUAACAACAGAAGAAGCACCGGCUAACUCCGUGCCAGCAGCCGCGGUAAUACGGAGGGUGCAAGCGUUAAUCGGAAUUACUGGGCGUAAAGCGCGCGUAGGCGGACUAUUAAGUCAGAGGUGAAAUCCCGGGGCUCAACCCCGGAACUGCCUUUGAUACUGGUAGUCUUGAGUUCGAGAGAGGUGAGUGGAAUUCCGAGUGUAGAGGUGAAAUUCGUAG